AUGGGAUCCAAGGGCAUCUGGGUAGAACAAAGACAGAGUCCAUUCCAGCAGGUGUGUGAGUACUUCUCGCAUGGAGCUGGAAAUUCCAAGUGCACGUCGGUGUUCGAUUAUAAAGAUUUUGUUUAUUUAUUCAUAAGAGACACACAGAGAGAGAGAGGUAGAGACACAGACUGUGGGAGAAGCAGGCUCCAUGCAGGGAGCCCAACGUGGGACUCAAUCCCAGGUCUCCAGGAUCACGCCCUGGGCUGAAGGAGGCACCAAACCGCUGAGCCACCCAGGCUGCCCUCACAUUAUGUUCUAACUCUUGAAACUGCUCCUCAGAUACAGAAGAGCAGGAGGAUGUGGUGUGGUGCUCUGGAAUGGAGAGCUGCAGGUGCGAAUCCUCAGCUGAAGGUGACGAGGAUGCCACUUGGAGCUGUAUUGUGUGGGGAAGUUCACACAGCCCUGCCACAGUGUGUGUCAGACUCUAACAUUUAGUUUGGCCAACUCUCCUCCACUUACAGCCCUCCCCAAUCACAAAAUUGGCAGGGAAAACCCUGAUCUGGUGGCUACAAAUGGAAACCUUCUGACAAAACCUAGAAAACAAAUUGCAGUUGAUUCCUUCCGGAGCAGGAUCCCAAUGGGCAUCAUUUCCUGAAUUUCUCUGCCUGCAUUUGGCAACCAUCCAGCAGGAUCUUCUCCUAUGCAAGAAGUGACCCCUUCUCUAGAACCCUCACCUCUUCUCCCUGGGCACUUCAACACUGAAUGCAGCCCUCAGGCCUUCCAGGCAUCGCUUUACUAUUCUCUUGGCUCUACAAUCCUACAAUUUUCAAUACUAGUGCCAGCCACAUCUGAUGCUGUUUUAUGUUCCCCGAAGAGAAGAGCUCUCCUCCAAUUUCAUAGAGAUAUAAUUGAAAUACAGGAAAUUGCACAUAUUUAAAGUAUACUGUUUGUUCAAUUUGACAUAUGUAUACAUCACCCCAAUCAAGAUGGCAAACAUUUUAAUCAGCACCAACAAUACUGACACGUUAGAUGAACUUGUGUUUCUGCAAUGUAUAUAAAUAUAUAUAUAUAAUUGCAUAUAAAUGGGAUCAGACAGCAUGUAUUUUACAUGCUGUCUGAUCUAGCUUCUUUAGUCUGAUCUAGCUUCUUUAGUUUAGCAUAGUCAUCUUGAGAUUUACCCAUGUUGUUGUACCCAUACACCGUAUGUUCCUUUUUUAUUGCUGAGUAAUAUUCCACCGUAUGAAUAUAUCAUAAUAUUUUAUAUAUUCAUCUGAUGAUGGACAUUUGUGUUGCUUCCACAGUUUGUUUUUGAUUUUUUUUUUUUGGAUAUUGCAAAUAAAGACUUGUUAUCGAAUGUAUAAGUCUUUGUG
Molecule: long non-coding RNA, 1352 nt
Filed under: Vulpes vulpes (red fox)
Lineage: Eukaryota; Metazoa; Chordata; Mammalia; Carnivora; Canidae
Description: lncRNA (ENSVVUG00000005280.1)
Source: RNAcentral